UGGGGAAUAUUGCACAAUGGGCGAAAGCCUGAUGCAGCAAUGCCGCGUGUGUGAAGAAGGCCUGCGGGUUGUAAAGCACUUUCAGUUGGGAGGAAAAGCAAUGGGCCAAUACCCCGUUGUCUUGACGUUACCUUCAGAAGAAGCACCGGCUAACUCUGUGCCAGCAGCCGCGGUAAUACAGAGGGUGCAAGCGUUAAUCGGAAUUACUGGGCGUAAAGCGCGCGUAGGCGGUUUGGUCAGUCGGAUGUGAAAGCCCCGGGCUUAACCUGGGAAUUGCAUUCGAUACUGCCAAGCUAGAGUGUAGUAGAGGGAAGCGGAAUUCCAGGUGUAGCGGUGAAAUGCGUAGAUAUCUGGAGGAACAUCAGUGGCGAAGGCGGCUUCCUGGACUAACACUGACGCUGAGGUGCGAAAGCGUGGGGAUCAAACAGGAUUAGAUACCCUGGUAGUCCACGCUGUAAACGAUGAAUACUAGGUGUCGGGUCGAAAGGUUCGGUACCGAAGCUAACGCAUUAAGUAUUCCACCUGGGGAGUACGAUCGCAAGGUG
Molecule: ribosomal RNA, 545 nt
Filed under: uncultured bacterium
Lineage: Bacteria
Description: bacterial SSU rRNA
Rfam family: Bacterial small subunit ribosomal RNA
Source: RNAcentral